Molecule: long non-coding RNA, 285 nt
Filed under: Lathyrus oleraceus (garden pea)
Lineage: Eukaryota; Viridiplantae; Streptophyta; Magnoliopsida; Fabales; Fabaceae
Description: Pisum sativum (pea) long non-coding RNA (PSAT_LNC024687)
Source: RNAcentral
CUAAGUCGAACACCCAAAAAGGCAACUUAGGCAAAAAUAGGGGCAAUCUCGGUGGACUAAAGCUUAAAAAAGGCGGUCCAGGCAAAAGUUAGGGAUCAAAACAAAAAUCGAAAGAGGUGUAACACCCCAAAAUUUGCCCCCCUCAUUCAUGCAUUCAUUUAGCAUUUCAUAUUGCAUUUCAUCAUGUCAAUCAGAAUUAGAUCCAAGAAACUUUAUUUAAAAAAAUAAAAUAAAAAUAAAAACGAAAAAUAAAACGAAAAACGAAAAAUAAAACGAAAAACGAAA